This is a long non-coding RNA of Limulus polyphemus (Atlantic horseshoe crab), 146 nucleotides long. RefSeq lists it as uncharacterized. Lineage: Eukaryota; Metazoa; Arthropoda; Merostomata; Xiphosura; Limulidae. The record is from RefSeq and is a predicted model, not a curated record. The transcript has 3 exons.
UUAGAGGGCGCGCUUAGCGUAUCUAGUGGUGUGGUGUUUGAUUUCGAAGCAUGUGAAAAAUCCAGAUGAAUUGGAACUGUAAGCAGACAAUAUGUUGCCUUGACAACAGUUUGCUUUACCACCUAACAGAUAAACAAUCACACCUG